CCUACGGGAUGCAGCAGUGGGGGAUAUUGCACAAUGGGGGGAACCCUGAUGCAGCGACGCCGCGUGGGUGAAGAAGCGCCUCGGCGCGUAAAGCCCUGUCAGCAGGGAAGAAAAUGACGGUACCUGACGAAGAAGCCCCGGCUAACUACGUGCCAGCAGCCGCGGUAAUACGUAGGGGGCAAGCGUUAUCCGGAUUUACUGGGUGUAAAGGGGGCGCAGACGGCGAUGCAAGCCAGGAGUGAAAGCCCGGGGCCCAACCCCGGGACUGCGCUUGGAACUGCGUGGCUGGAGUGCAGGAGGGGCAGGCGGAAUUCCUGGUGUAGCGGUGAAAUGCGUAGAUAUCAGGAGGAACACCGGUGGCGAAGGCGGCCUGCUGGACUGCAACUGACGUUGAGGCCCGAAAGCGUGGGGAGCAAACAGGAUUAGAUACCCGAGUAGUC
Molecule: ribosomal RNA, 440 nt
Filed under: uncultured bacterium
Lineage: Bacteria
Description: partial 16S ribosomal RNA
Rfam family: Bacterial small subunit ribosomal RNA
Source: RNAcentral